AAACCAGCACCUCAAGUGGUCAGGAGGAUUAUUGGGCCUAAAGCAUCCGUAGCCUGCUGCAUAAGUUUUCGGUUAAAUCCAUACGCUCAACGUAUGGGCUGCCGGGAAUACUGUGCAGCUAGGGAGUGGGAGAGGUAGACGGUACUCGGUAGGAAGGGGUAAAAUCCUUUGAUCUAUUGAUGACCACCUGUGGCGAAGGCGGUCUACCAGAACACGUCCGACGGUGAGGGAUGAAAGCUGGGGGAGCAAACCGGAUUAGAAACCCCAGUAGUCC
This 274-nucleotide ribosomal RNA is filed under the name uncultured bacterium. RNAcentral describes it as "partial 16S ribosomal RNA". It matches the Rfam family "Archaeal small subunit ribosomal RNA", at positions 473 to 747 of the family's 1478-position model. The record is from RNAcentral.